UAGGGAAUCUUCGGCAAUGGGGGCAACCCUGACCGAGCAACGCCGCGUGAGUGAAGAAGGUUUUCGGAUCGUAAAGCUCUGUUGUAAGAGAAGAACGUGUGUGAGAGUGGAAAGUUCACACAGUGACGGUAACUUACCAGAAAGGGACGGCUAACUACGUGCCAGCAGCCGAGGUAAUACGUAGGUCCCGAGCGUUGUCCGGAUUUAUUGGGCGUAAAGCGAGCGCAGGCGGUUUGAUAAGUCUGAAGUUAAAGGCAGUGGCUUAACCAUUGUUCGCUUUGGAAACUGUUAAACUUGAGUGCAGAAGGGGAGAGUGGAAUUCCAUGUGUAGCGGUGAAAUGCGUAGAUAUAUGGAGGAACACCGGUGGCGAAAGCGGCUCUCUGGUCUGUAACUGACGCUGAGGCUCGAAAGCGUGGGGAGCAAACAGG
RNAcentral lists this ribosomal RNA (429 nucleotides) under bacterium. RNAcentral's name for it is "partial 16S ribosomal RNA". It matches the Rfam family "Bacterial small subunit ribosomal RNA", at positions 355 to 776 of the family's 1533-position model. The record is from RNAcentral.